CUUGGUCAUUUAGAGGAAGUAAAAGUCGUAACAAGGUUUCCGUAGGUGAACCUGCGGAAGGAUCAUUAAAGUUUGCUUAAUUGCAUUACACAUGUUUUUUUAGAGAACUUGCUUGCAAGAACACUAAUAAUUUACUUAGUCAACAAAUAAAAAUAUCAAAACUUUCAACAACGGAUCUCUUGGUUCUCGCAUCGAUGAAGAACGCAGCGAAAUGCGAUACGUAAUAUGAAUUGCAGAUUUUCGUGAAUCAUCGAAUCUUUGAACGCACAUUGCGCCCUGUGGUAUUCCACAGGGCAUGCCUGUUUGAGCGUCAUUUCUCCCUCAAACCUCUGGUUUGGCGUUGAGUGAUACUCGGUUUACUUGAAAAACAUGAAAAGCAUAACUAUUAGGUUUUACCAACUCGUUAUACUAAUCUACAAGUUUGACCUCAAAUCAGGUAGGACUACCCGCUGAACUUAAGCAUAUCAAUAAGCGGAGGAAAAGAAACCAACCGGGAUUGCCUCAGUAACGGCGAGUGAAGCGGCAAAAGCUCAAAUUUGAAAUCUGGUCCCUUGGGGCCCGAGUUGUAAUUUGCAGAGGAUGCUUUUGGCGAGGCGCCUUCCGAGUGCCCUGGAACGGGACGCCAUAGAGGGUGAGAGCCCCGUAUGGUUGGACGCCGAGCCUACGUAAAGCUCCUUCGACGAGUCGAGUUGUUUGGGAAU
RNAcentral lists this small RNA (701 nucleotides) under uncultured Candida. RNAcentral describes it as "eukaryotic LSU rRNA". The stretch from base 423 to 701 matches the Rfam family "Eukaryotic large subunit ribosomal RNA", at positions 1 to 281 of the family's 3401-position model. The record is from RNAcentral. Lineage: Eukaryota; Fungi; Ascomycota; Saccharomycetes; Saccharomycetales.